This 437-nucleotide non-coding RNA is filed under the name Neurospora crassa. Lineage: Eukaryota; Fungi; Ascomycota; Sordariomycetes; Sordariales; Sordariaceae. The record is from RNAcentral.
AACAGAGAAUUCGCAGUCCGGGUCGCCGACUUCGGUCUUUUCUUUUCUUCUUCACCACCAAGACCAGACAUCACCGCAUAAACAAACAUGGCCGACACAGCAGCCGUCGCCAAGGGCGUCGAGAACCUCUCCGUCUCCGCCUCCAAGACCAAGGAGCUCAAGGGCACCGAAAAGAGAGACACCCUCAUCGAGAUCGAGAAGAGGUACCAGCAAAAAUGGGAGCAGGAGGGCGUCUUCGAGGUCGAUGCCCCCUCCACCGCCGAGUUCCCUCUCGACGCCAUUACCCCCGAUGAGCUGCGCCAAAAGCACCCCAAGUUCUUCGGCACCAUUGCCUACCCCUACAUGAACGGCCGCCUCCACGCCGGCCACGCCUUCAGCUUCUCCAAGAUCGAGUACCACACCGGCUUCGCCCGCAUGCAGGGCAAGCGCGCCCUCUU